This is a long non-coding RNA of Cyprinus carpio carpio, 1048 nucleotides long. The record is from Ensembl. NCBI's taxonomy places the organism in Eukaryota, Metazoa, Chordata, Actinopteri, Cypriniformes, Cyprinidae.
AUGAUUUUUAUUUCCUUCUCUCCUUUGCCUCCAUUAUUCCUUCUUUUUUUUGGAUCUGCGCAAAAUAAACCCACGAAUCUUGAGUGCAUUUGGGUACAGCAUGUUUCCCAGGCGGGUAAAUGUAUGCAUUCUAUGUUCUGUGAACCUCCAUCUGUUCUGUUUGAGUCUGGGCUGAGUUGGCUGUGAAAGAUGGCGAUGGUGAUGGUGUUUCUGACGUCUUGACUAGGGCCGAGUCUUAGCGAGUCGCAAGGGCUCCCUGACGCUAGCUCUCGCGGAUCAGCGAGGUGCUGUUUGUCAGACUGGUGGGCUGGUGAGAGCGGCACACAGACGGCCCUCAUCUGCUGCAGAUACGUCAAAGACAGCCUUGGAAGCUUGUAACCUUGCAUGCGUUUAGACCCUCGAAUGUUGCCAUACUAGCACCUUGUGCUGAAAGGUGACUGUAAGAUUGUGGGUGUAACGUAGAUGUAAAAGGCCCAUUUUGUUGAAAAACACCUUCUAGAUCUUCUACACUCUCAGAUAAUGAGGUAUAAAAGCUGUCACUAGGGCAGUACACUUUUGUUUACUAAUAUGGACCCUUUAGGUACAAAAGUAUACCUUUUGAAAAGGUUCUUCCCCAGUGACAGCUUUUGUACUUUUUUUUUUUUUUUUUUUGAGGCGUGUACAAUGGAUGCACCCUUAAAAAAAACUGUUUAAAAACACAUGUGCCAAUUCUUAGAGAUCUGCUCUUUGUAUUCAUAUUAAUUGUAUAUGGUUUUGAAAAACACGUAUGCCAUUUUUAAGAUAACUACUAAAAAUGUAUUGCAGUGUAACCAUUGAGUAAUAAGUAAUAAUAUAUUUUCUUUACAGCUUGAAAACAUAUGACAGUUUACAUAAAAAGAUUUUUCAAUAUGGAUAUUUUUUGCAAGUAUCAUUAAUUAUUAAUUAAUUAUUAGAUGCACCACUUGACAUUUUACAACCAAAAUAAUAUUUUCUUGUCAUAAAAUCUCCAAUCUUUUUUUGUCAUAAAAAAAUCAGACAAUCUUAUAUGUCGCACCACAUGACUUUGAUU